RNAcentral lists this ribosomal RNA (493 nucleotides) under uncultured Enterobacter sp. Its description in RNAcentral is "bacterial SSU rRNA". It matches the Rfam family "Bacterial small subunit ribosomal RNA", at positions 505 to 1000 of the family's 1533-position model. The record is from RNAcentral. Lineage: Bacteria; Pseudomonadati; Pseudomonadota; Gammaproteobacteria; Enterobacterales; Enterobacteriaceae.
GUGCCAGCCGCCGCGGUAAUACGGAGGGUGCAAGCGUUAAUCGGAAUUACUGGGCGUAAAGCGCACGCAGGCGGUCUGUCAAGUCGGAUGUGAAAUCCCCGGGCCCAACCUGGGAACUGCAUUCGAAACUGGCAGGCUAGAGUCUUGUAGAGGGGGGUAGAAUUCCAGGUGUAGCGGUGAAAUGCGUAGAGAUCUGGAGGAAUACCGGUGGCGAAGGCGGCCCCCUGGACAAGACUGACGCUCAGGUGCGAAAGCGUGGGGAGCAAACAGGAUUAGAUACCCUGGUAGUCCACGCCGUAAACGAUGUCGACUUGGAGGUUGUGCCCUUGAGGCGUGGCUUCCGGAGCUAACGCGUUAAGUCGACCGCCUGGGGAGUACGGCCGCAAGGUUAAAACUCAAAUGAAUUGACGGGGCCCGCACAAGCGGUGAGCAUGUGGUUUAAUUCGAUGCAACGCGAAGAACCUUACCUACUCUUGACAUCCAGAGAACUUAG